This 83-nucleotide transfer RNA is filed under the name Chloroflexota bacterium. RNAcentral describes it as "Chloroflexi bacterium (oil production facility metagenome) tRNA-Leu". It matches the Rfam family "tRNA". Rfam says of the family: Transfer RNA (tRNA) molecules are approximately 80 nucleotides in length. Their secondary structure includes four short double-helical elements and three loops (D, anti-codon, and T loops). Lineage: Bacteria; Bacillati; Chloroflexota. The record is from RNAcentral.
GGGGCGGUGGCGGAACGGCAGACGCUGCGGACUUAAAAUCCGCUGAGGGCGACCUCGUGAGGGUUCGACCCCCUCCCGCCCUA